This 266-nucleotide long non-coding RNA is filed under the name Lathyrus oleraceus (garden pea). RNAcentral's name for it is "Pisum sativum (pea) long non-coding RNA (PSAT_LNC017507)". Lineage: Eukaryota; Viridiplantae; Streptophyta; Magnoliopsida; Fabales; Fabaceae. The record is from RNAcentral.
AAAAGGUACAAAAUGGUAAAAUAAAUAGUAAGAAAUUAUAAAAAAAAUUAAAUAAAAUAGCAAGCAUAAAAAUAAAAUAAAUGGAGAUAUGUUAUUCCCAAGUAUCAAAUCCAUCCCACUAAAGAAAGUGAAAUUACUUCCUCUCCACUCGGCCACUUAUGUUCAUUUGUUACCUUAACAACAACUUAAAUAUAUAAACAAGAAUAGAUAAAGAUAAAUUAAAAUAAAAAAAUAACUAAAACGAGAUGGGCUGCCGGGUUAUUUUU